AAGCGCUUAUGACCAGACUUGUGCCCUGCGGAUCAUCCAGCCUUCUGGCUGGUGCACUUCGCUUGGUUCAGGCCAGCAUCGGUUCCCUGAGGGGGAUAAAAGCUUCAGGGACGUGGCUCCUCCGGGAGCGUUAUAACCUGUUGCAAAAUACCCCUCGGGGGACCGAGGUUCGCGCAUCUGCAAGGAUGCUGGCGUAAUGGUCAUCAGCGA
RNAcentral lists this ribosomal RNA (210 nucleotides) under Xylariales sp. RNAcentral's name for it is "partial large subunit ribosomal RNA". Lineage: Eukaryota; Fungi; Ascomycota; Sordariomycetes; Xylariales. The record is from RNAcentral.